AUGUUCUUGAGUCUCCAGAGUGAGCACAGCCCUGCCACCUCUGGAUUUCAGCCCAGUGGAAGUGCCUUCAGACUUCUGACCUCCAGAACUGUAAAAGUAUACAGAGUAGGCAUGAGUGCCACCUGGUCUCUCCACGGUCUCACUAGGUUGUCAUCCCUGAUGCUCCAACCUCACACAGAGGCUUCAGGACUCAGCCUGCGAAGUCAGAAAGAGUUGCUUCUUCCACAUCCUAUUCCCUGGGACACAGAAAGUUUUGAGUAAAAAUCUACCUCAACACAUCAUUCCUCAUAAGUGUCAAUUCUUACUCCACAGUUGAGUCCAAGAGCAAAGACACAUGAGCAGAGGCACAUUAGAAAGAAUAAGGUUUUAAUACACACAAUCUGGAAAGAUAAGGGCCCACUAAGGAAAACAGGCAAGGGGAGAAGUACCACCUGCAAAUAGCAGCAUGUAUCCAUACUGUCAGUUCAAAGAUUAGAGAACUGGCUAAAGACUUGGGGCAGCCAGAUUAACAGUCAAGCCAGGGAGAUCACGGCUGACACAUGCUGGUUUCUUCUAUCUUCCACCACAAGGGAGUGUCUCAAAUACUGUGGUUCCAACUGGGCUUAUCUGCCUCUUCCUGACCUCCAACACAAACACACACACACACACACACACGCACACACAAUGAGGUUUCGGGCCUUUGAUUCCUAAAGGGAGAGAGCAGCUUAAGUUUAAUUUAAAGGGACUGAGCCCCUUCCUCCGGAGGAAACAUUUGUUCAUGGAGAUCACAUGUGGAAGGAGACUUGCUCUUAUUUGUCCUGCAUCACACUAUCUGUGUGUACCAUCUGGGCCUCACAGGUGCUUUUUGUGUAUGGGGACCCCAUAAGUGUGUCCAGUCACAGCAUUUAUGGUGCUGUCCCCCAUCACACCAUCUGUUCUUUGUCCAGGUGGCCCUGGCUGCUGUGCCUGGUUGCUGUGCUGGCACAUCCUGGCCUCUCAUUAUAGCUAUGGUGGCAUUCACUGUAGAUGCACCAUUUGUGUUUUGUCCAGGUGGGUCAACCAUGGACUGAUGGAGAAAGGAAGCACAAGGGCCUCUGACAAUGGGAAUGUGGUUGCCUCCUCUUGGUGCAACACCUGAUUUCUGGAGUGGUGCAUGUGAGGUACUUGGCAUGAAGAUGGAACAAGUAGGGAUGGUGCUGGUGUUUUUGGCCACAACCAAUGUGAUGUGGACAGGUGAGCCCAAGGCUACCUGACCAGAUGGGAGAACAGAAGUGGUACUGGCGGUUCCCCUCUUUUCUGGUACAGCUUUUGGUCUUCAGAACUGGGGCCUCAGGCAGACGUGCUAACCCCAGUGUUCUUACCAUCUGUAGAGGCCCCAGGUCUCAUUAUCCCCCAUGGGCCUAGAGUAGAAUUGCCAACCAAUGUAGUACUGUCCCCAGGGCCAGGCAUCCCGGUGGUAACUCUAAAUGUAGAUGACUUGGCUAUGCCAAUGAAAGCACUUGGGUUUUUAAUCAUAUUAGACUGCACACUGAUAGGUAGGCCAAAUCCAAAAAUAUGGUGUCACACUGGUAAGGUCUGCUGCCAUGAUGCUGCCACUGGGUGGCUGGGAUGCAAGGAGACCUUAGGCCUAUAACUGGUGCUGGGGUUGCUAGGUUUCCCAGAAUAAAAGAAUGGCCUGACUUCUCCUGCCCAUGAGAAGGCCCAAAUAUGGAUCAUGGAUUUACAGCAUGGUGGGAAGUUGGGAUCAGUCCCAUGACUGACUGUGCAGGCAAACUGGUGAAGAUGUGGGCAGAGACAACGUUGCCACUGGAUUCUGUGUUACCAGGACCAUAAAACACCAGAUAAGAUGGGGUACACUUCUUCCUUGAGAUAGCAGCAGACUGAAAGAUGACAGCUUUUGAAUAAGGAGUCAUAUCCACAGUGCUACUGCCAAUGAUAGGUAUGGAUGAUGAUGCAGAGGCUCUACUCCCUAAACUGGGGGUGUCUGGAGGAGCCACCAAGAGAAGGCUUAGAAAAACAUGGGUACUGAGGGGACAGGCUUUCCAAUGUUGCCCAUCAGGGGCCCCCAGUGUGAGCUGAGCAGUGGAUCCCGAAUUUAUGUGGUUAGAAGUUAUGGUUGGUCCUACGGCUGACUGUGAAGGCAAACUGGUAGAGAUGUGAACAGAACAAAUGUUUCUACUGAGUUGUUUGUUUGUACAACAGGGAGCCCCAAAUAAGAUGAGGUGCACUUCUUCCUUGAGAAAGACGAGUUUGAUACCUGGCAGCUUCGAAAAAUAAGUGGUAGCCGUAGCCUUGCUGUCAAUGGUAGGAAAAAAAGAUGAUCUUGCAGAGGUGCCGCUUCCUAAACUGGAGGUGUCUGGGAGUUUCUGGGAAGUCUCAGAAAAUCACUGAGGAGAAAGGCUUUCCACUGCGGUCCAACAGGGGCCCACAGUGUUAGCUGAUCAGUGGCUCCCUGAUUUACAGUGUGGUUAGAAGUUACAGUUGGUCCUACAACUGACUGUCCGGGCAAACUGGUAGAGACAUGGACUGAGGCAACAUUGCCACUGGGUUGUGUGUUCCCGGAACCAGGGAGCCCCAGAUGCAAGGAAGAGAUGAGGAUGCUCUUCUUCCAUGAGACACUGGCAGACUGGAAGAUGACAGCUUUUGAAUAAGGGGUGGUAACCACAG
Long non-coding RNA from Callithrix jacchus (white-tufted-ear marmoset), 2646 nucleotides. The record is from Ensembl. Lineage: Eukaryota; Metazoa; Chordata; Mammalia; Primates; Cebidae.